RNAcentral lists this long non-coding RNA (1791 nucleotides) under Homo sapiens (human). RNAcentral's name for it is "HSALNT0097766". The record is from RNAcentral. Lineage: Eukaryota; Metazoa; Chordata; Mammalia; Primates; Hominidae.
GAAGCAAGCAGCCAUGCUGGAGAGGCCCACAUGGAAAGGAACUGAGGGAACCCUCCAGCCAUCAGGAAAUGAGGAGCUAAAGCUGGCAGCCUACCAGGAACUGAAUCCCACCAACAACCAUCUAGAGAUGGUCAUGUAAUCCAGUUCUGGUCAAAGACACGCCUGGACUCUGCAGAACCUCUGUUCUUCUUAGUAAAUGAGGAGCCCCUACUUUCUGCCUCGAACACAGCGUCCGAAGACAUGAUGAUCCAAGCUGUGGUAGCCUCUUGACUGUGAGGGGAUAUGUCUGGACUCUUCAAGGAAAUACAUUGAGGACAGCAGAAUAAAGAGAAAGAGAGAGUUUGAUGCUAACUUCAAGUCAUUGGACCAACCUGGGAUUGACUGCCGGCCUGCAGAUAUCUAGUAUAAGAUGUUGGCUGUGUGCCAUGGCCCAUGCCUGUAAUCCCAGCACUUUGGGUUGGGAGACCGAGGCAGGUGGAUCACGAGGUCAAGAGAUCGAGACCAUCCUGGCCAACAAGGUGAAACCCUGUCUCUACUAAAAUACAAAAUAUUAGCCAAGCAUGGUCACGUGGGCCUGUAGUCCCAGCUACUCGGGAAGCUGAGGCAGAGGAAUCGCUUGAACCCAGGAGGCGGAGGUUGCAGUGAGCCGAGAUCACAGCACUGCACUCCAGCCUGGCAACAGAGCAAGACUCUGUUUAAAAAAAAAAGAUGUCUUGAUUGUAUAGGCCUCUGUUAGCUGGUUAAUCCUAUUUGCUUACAGCAGAAUGCAUCCCAAUGAAUACAACAGGUAUACGUGCAAUGAAAGAGAGUUCAGUCCUAGGGAGACUGCAAGGGGGAAAAAGUAGGCUCUGGGGUAAAAUAAUUAAAUAAUUCUUCCUUUCAUGGUGGUCAUGAAAUGGUAGCUAACAUUUAUUUGCUUUGUGUUUUUUUUUUUUUCUUUGUGAAGCACCUGUCUGCUAUUGGUGCUAUAUGUUUUUGAAAAUUCAUUUUUACCUCUCCAAGCCCAUUUCCUCACUGGAUUCAUGGAAAGAUGAAGGAGAGACUGCAUGUGAAAAGGGUGGACAUACUUUCUGUCUGGCUGGCUGCCUGUCUUGUUCACUGCACUUUCCCAGCACUAGAUAAAGUUUUUUUUAUUUUGUUGUUUUAUUUUUAGAGACAGGGUCCCACCAUGUCAUCAAGGUUGGAGUGCAGUGGCACAAUCACAGCUCACUGUAACCUCAAAUUCCUGGGCUUAAGUGAUCCUCUCGCCUCAGCCACCUGUGUGGCUGAGACUACAGGGACACACUACCACUCCAGGCUAUUUUUUAAAAUUUUUUGUCAAGACAAGAUCUCGAUAUGUUACCCCAGCUGGUCUCUAACUCCUGGCUUCAAGCAAUCCCUCCCACCUCAGCCUCUCAAAGCACUGGGAUUACAGGCAUGAGCCAUCCCUAGUUAAAAUUUGGUAAAGAAUAAAGCUCUUUCCCUCCGGCUUAUAAAAUCAGGACUCAGUAGUUAUUGCCAAAUGUGCCCCAUUGGUUAAUUUGGAUCUUUCCCCAUUCCUUGCAUGUCCAUUGGCCAUUCGGGCUUCAUUCCUAGAAUAUAUAUUUUUUGGGGGAGAUGGGGUGGUGGGGAUGGAGUGUUGGUCUGUCACCCAAGCUGGAGUGCAGUGGUGUGAUCUCGGCUGACUGCAACCUCCGCCCCCUGGGUUCAAGCAAUUCUCCUGCCUCAGCCUCCCAAAUAGCUGGGACUACAGGUGCCCACCACCACGCCCGGCUCAUUUUCGUGUUUUUAGAAGAGACGGGGUUUCACCAU